GACGAACGCUGGCGGCGUGCCUAAUACAUGCAAGUAGAACGCUGAAGGAGGAGCUUGCUUCUCUGGAUGAGUUGCGAACGGGUGAGUAACGCGUAGGUAACCUGCCUGGUAGCGGGGGAUAACUAUUGGAAACGAUAGCUAAUACCGCAUAACAGUAGAUAUCGCAUGAUAUCUACUUGAAAGGUGCAAUUGCAUCACUACCAGAUGGACCUGCGUUGUAUUAGCUAGUUGGUGAGGUAACGGCUCACCAAGGCGACGAUACAUAGCCGACCUGAGAGGGUGAUCGGCCACACUGGGACUGAGACGCGGCCCAGACUCCUACGGGAGGCAGCAGUAGGGAAUCUUCGGCAAUGGACGGAAGUCUGACCGAGCAACGCCGCGUGAGUGAAGAAGGUUUUCGGAUCGUAAAGCUCUGCUGUAAGAGAAGAACGAGUGUGAGAGUGGAAAGUUCACACUGUGACGGUAUCUUACCAGAAAGGGACGGCUAACUACGUG
Molecule: ribosomal RNA, 495 nt
Filed under: uncultured bacterium
Lineage: Bacteria
Description: partial 16S ribosomal RNA
Rfam family: Bacterial small subunit ribosomal RNA
Source: RNAcentral